Long non-coding RNA from Numida meleagris (helmeted guineafowl), 2794 nucleotides. Lineage: Eukaryota; Metazoa; Chordata; Aves; Galliformes; Numididae. The record is from Ensembl.
GCCACAGACUGGACAUAGAGUCAGAGGCAAAUGUCACGGUAAGCACUGCAAGCCCUGUUGGCUUAGCUACCCUUCAGGUCACUUCUUUGGCCUACUGUGUCCUCCUUUCCCUGUAUCAUUUAUAUUUUCCAUUUUUCACUUAUUUUUGCUGUGAGUUUUAGACAUUGGUAUCAGUGGAUGGAUAAUGCAAGGAUUUCUCCUUUGCCUUUUUAUAAAAAAAACAACACAACAUGGUUUGAAGACUUCUCCCCCUGUUCUUUCUCUUAACAUGUCUAAGGUGAUCUACAGAGCAGCUGAGAAUUGGAUGAUGGCUUUUAUGGUGGCUAGAAAUUCUGUGAAACCUGCAGAGACAUUGCCAGAACUUCACUAUCCUCUGGAAACAGGUGUGCUGGUGCAGGGGUUUCAGAGUGCUUCUCAUCAUGGGGGGUCACCCACUCUGCCACUUCCAGGAAAGCUGCAGCUCUUCCUCCAUCUUGACACAGGCAAGAGCAGCACCGGCCAUCACAGUCCCAGCUGUGGUGAGGAAGUCCUGGCUCUGCUCUAGGUAAACACUUACAGCAUCAUUUCUGUUUCUACUGGCAGUGGUCUACUGGCAGUGGCCUGGUGGUCCCUGCUGACCCUCUGCUGAAUCCCUGGAGUGGCCAUGUCACCAUCGCCAGACCCAACAGCUCUAGGACAUGUGCUGCUGGCAGCAAGUGGCUGCACAUGGGCAUUCAUAGCUUGGUGCCAUCUCACUCUUCUGCCCUCACUGCCUGCCUUGCCAAGGGUCAGGAGGUCAUGGGGAACAGGCCCCAUGGAGACAGAAUGGGAAUGGAAGGAAGGGGGAGAAGAUAGUGUCUGACUCAGGUACAGGAUAGGGAACAGAGUGUGAUCCCAGGAGGCUUUAACAAAGUGGUGGGGACUUGGUUUUCAUGGUAAUAGAUAGUUGUGUCCAAACUCAAGCUUGUCUAUUCCCAAGAGUGAGCCUACACACAAAAUUGCAAGGUCCUAGCAUGAAAAAAUACUUCAGAAGUUAUGAAUGCUCUUAGGAAGUUAUUCCCCAGACCUUCUCUGCAAGUCUGCAUAAUUGCUACUUUUUUCCACCCUCUUUUAACUUAGCUUGUGAACCUCAUCCAUCCAUGAAGGCCUGAAGUCUGGCUGUCUAAGGAAAUCCCCACAGAGGAGGAGAGCUGGCAGCUCUUGGCACCCCAGCAUUCUCUUCAGUGGUUUCACUGGAUCCACUGAGCAGCACUGGAAAGUCCGUUCUGACUUUUGCAGUGUAUGGCACUCAUUCCCCACCCACACUCAAUGACAGCGGGCUUUUGAAAGAUUGCUUAAAUUUGAAAAAAAGUUGUGAUGUUGUGAUGAACCUCCCUUUCUUUGCGAUGAACCAUUCUUUCAUUGUCUCAGUGCUCCAAAGUUCUUUCCUUGCUGGACUGGGCAAAGCCAUGUGCUGUCUGCAGAGGAGGCAGGCAAGCCUCAGUGGCUGUCCUUGUUUCAGGGCUUGACUUCCCUUCUGUCCUUGAGGUUUCAAACAUGAGAGACCAUGGUAGUCUCCAUUCAAUGAAACAUCUGGCUGUGGUGGGUUCUUAAAUAUAUAUGCGUACAUAUUUAAUCCCUGUUGGCACAGCAGUUCUCAAGGCCCAGAAGAGAACUUCCAUAGCCUGUGACACUUCCAGAUACAGAUGGCAGCAUACGGUGUUUUGGCACCAUGUUCACCAUCAGAGGCUACUGACUAAAGAGAGUGGUAAGACUACUGUGGAGACAUUGCUGUGAAUGGUCAUGUUCAGCCCCUAGUUUUCUCCAUUUCAAGAAAGCAUGCAGGUGGAAGUAAAGAUCUGCCAGUUCAAAGGUUGACUUUGAUUUCAUAUGUUUGUGCCUAUAGGUGAAGCAAGCCAAUCCACACCUAGGAAAAUGAAGCCUUUUGAAACGAAGCUUUCAAAACCAUCAGUUAAAACUUUUUAUGUUAAUUAAAAGAUUAAUAUAAUUGAUUUAAAGAGCAUGCACAUCGUGGCAUCCUAUUAGGGACAUGCUAUCUGCAGUUUACAUUUGGUUUACUCACUGCAAAUACCACAUGUGCAGUGAAGUAAAAAGGGUGAGGUUAACCAUGAAUGGAGAGAAGCAAGUUGUCCUUGUUUAGUUAUCUUGUGGUAAAAAACACAACAACUUUAUCUCCAUUUGGAUUUUACUAUGAGCUUGCUAACGCUCAGUAGCUAACUUGUUUUUGUGUUCUCCUUCAGUCUUCCCCCACCAACUUCUCCUGCAUGAGAGACUUCAUUUCAGAGUCAUCCAAUUUCCACAAUCACAAUUUCUGCACACUUGAUUAUUGCUGAGAUGUUUUGCUCUUAUGGCUGGUCAGGGAAUCCACAACUAAAUGACUUUCUCAAGGAGACAUGAGAAAAGAAGCUGGAAAUUGAAUUCAGGCAUUCUCAUUUAAGGGGCUUGCUUAGAAGUUUUUUUUUUUUCUGUUUAAUCUCUCUGAGUCUCUUUACAUUGGUCCAAGUGGUUAGUUAAUCCACCAGACCUUUCUUGAGGCCAACAUCAACCUAACACCAAAAUUUACAGAGUUCUCCACCAAAUCAACACAUUCUUUGCAGACAAAGUUAAAAAGAAAUCAGUCUUCCAAGGUGUGCACUGCUGACUCGCGUCUCUCCAGCAGCUUAGCUUUACUUAGAACAGAUUGUAGCCUGCCUCUCCUCCUAAAAGAUUUACAAACCCUUCAUAGAGGUUGGGGACAGGCAGGUCUGUCUUGCUUUUACCUUCUGACAGCCAUAUGGAAAAUAAAGUGCUUCCUUGAGAAUAUUUGCUUGUCUUU